CGCGGGUUGCGCGCCCUCUGCUCCGGAGCCCGCUGCCCCGCGUCCUGACUGCUGCCCUGCAUCCCUCGCCGGGCCAGGCGUCGAGAGCCAACAUGGGCCAGGAAGAGGAGCUGCUGAGGAUCGCCAAAAAGCUGGAGAAGAUGGUGGCCAGGAAGAACACGGAAGGGGCCCUUGACCUUCUGAAGAAGCUGAACAGCUGUCAGAUGUCCAUCCAGCUGCUGCAGACGACCAGGAUUGGAGUUGCCGUCAACGGGGUUCGCAAGCACUGCUCAGACAGGGAGGUGGUGUCCUUGGCCAAGGUCCUCAUCAAAAACUGGAAGCGAUUGCUGGACUCCCCAGGACAUCCCAAAGGGGAAAAAGGAGAGGAAAGAGAGAAAGCCAAGAAGAAAGAGAAAGACCUCGACUGUUCAGAUUGGAAGCCCGAAGCAGGCCUUUCUCCCCCAAAAAAGAAAAGAAGAGAAGAGCCCCCAAACAGGAGAGACUCUGUGGACUCCAAGUCUUCCACCACCUCCUCUCCAAAAAGGCCUGCGAUGGAAAGAUCAAACAGCAGCAGAUCAAGAGCAGAGACCCCUAAAACACCCAGCAGCCCCUCCACUCCCACGUUUGCCCCCUCCGUCUGCCUCCUGGCGCCCUGCUAUCUCACAGGGGACUCUGUCCGGGACAAGUGUGUGGAGAUGCUGUCAGCGGCCCUGAGGGCAGAAGAUGAUUACAAGGAUUAUGGAGUCAACUGCGACAAGAUGGCUUCAGAAAUUGAAGAUCAUAUCUACCAGGAGCUCAAGAGCACAGACAUGAAAUACCGGAACCGCGUGCGCAGCCGCAUCAGCAACCUUAAGGACCCCAGGAACCCUGGCUUGAGGCGGAAUGUGCUCAGCGGGGCCAUUUCUGCUGGACUCAUAGCCAAGAUGACAGCAGAGGAAAUGGCCAGUGACGAGCUGAAGGAGUUGAGGAACGCCAUGACCCAGGAGGCCAUCCGGGAGCACCAGAUGGCCAAGACCGGCGGCACCACCACCGAUCUCUUCCAGUGCAGCAAAUGCAAGAAGAAGAACUGCACCUAUAACCAGGUACCGGUGCUGCAGGCUGGGCCUGCGGAGGAGGAGCCAGGGACGGUGGAGGUGGUGAGCCAGAGAGAUGCUUCGGAAGGAGCCCGGGGAGAAAGGGCUGAGGUUCUCCAGGCCGCAGAGACAAGGGCCAGGCUUGGGAUACCACAGUGGUGCUUCUGCGGCUUCUAGAACAUUUUCUGGCUGUAGAACAGCUGGCUGUGUGAUGGGGAGGUGGGACCAGUGUUUUCUGGCCUGCCCUGAGGUAAGAAUGAGAAGAGCCAGACACACAGGGGACCACCCCCGAGAGUCACUGAUGGCCGGAAGGGAACUGAGCCGUGUGGAGCCAGCUUCUUCGUUAUAACCAGGGAAACUAAGGCCCCUAGGGCCUCCAAGCCCCUUUUCCUCUCCAGGCCUCCGUCCUUCCAUUGGUAAAUUAAAGAUGAACGAGGUGAUUUCUAAAGUGCUCCCGGCUCACUCCCGCGCUGGUGGGCUGGGCACGUCUGUGUUCGGGGUGAGGCCUGCAUGCUGCCUGUGGGAGGCAACAGCAGAGCGGUCAGUUUGGAAAGAUCAACCCAAGGUGCUGGGGGCGACUCAUGGACGGCCCGGGGAGAGGGAGGUAUAAGUUAGGGAAUUGCCAAAGUGGGACAGGAAUAUCAGUGCCAACCCCUGGGAUCUGGACCUACUAGACAGGGGAAGCCAUAGCAGGUUCUAGAUCAGCAGAGCGACUUCACGGCUGGCUGUCUCUCAGGUGCAAACGCGCAGUGCCGACGAGCCCAUGACCACCUUCGUCCUGUGCAAUGAAUGCGGGAAUCGCUGGAAGUUCUGCUGACAGGACCGCCCGCCAGGACCGCAGCAUCCGAAGGCAAAGAACAGAGAGGGCGAGCUGAGCCACCGAACUGGAGAAAAAUAAAAGUUAAAA
Marmota flaviventris (yellow-bellied marmot) is the source of this 1959-nucleotide non-coding RNA. The record is from RefSeq and is a predicted model, not a curated record. Lineage: Eukaryota; Metazoa; Chordata; Mammalia; Rodentia; Sciuridae.